RNAcentral lists this ribosomal RNA (468 nucleotides) under uncultured bacterium. Its description in RNAcentral is "partial 16S ribosomal RNA". It matches the Rfam family "Bacterial small subunit ribosomal RNA", at positions 28 to 507 of the family's 1533-position model. The record is from RNAcentral.
GACGAACGCUGGCGGCGUGCUUAACACAUGCAAGUCGAACGGAAAGGCCCUGCUUUUGUGGGGUGCUCGAGUGGCGAACGGGGGAGUAACACGUGAGUAACCUGCCCUUGACUUUGGGAUAACUUCAGGAAACUGGGGCUAAUACCGGAUAGGAUCUCCUGCUGCGUGGUGGGGGUUGGAAAGUUUCGGCGGUUGGGGAUGGACUCGCGGCUUAUCGGCUUGUUGGUGUGGUAGUGGCUUACCAAGGCUUUGACGGGUAGCCGGCCUGGGAGGGUGACCGGGCACAUUGGGACUGAGAUAGGGCCCAGACUGCUACGGGAGGCAGCAGUGGGGAAUAUUGCACAAUGGGCGGAAGUCUGAUGCAGAAACGCCGCGUGCGGGAUGACGGCUUUCGGGUUGUAAACAGCUUUCGACUGUGACGAAGCGUGAGUGACGGUAAUGGGUAAAGAAGCACCGGCUAACUACGUG